GUCUGACCUCGGAUCAGGUGGGAUUACCCGCUGAACUUAAGCAUAUCAAUAAGCGGAGGAAAAGAAACUAACAAGGAUUCCCCUAGUAACGGCGAGUGAAGCGGGAUGAGCUCAAAUUUGAAAUCUGGUAGUCUUUGGCUGCCCGAGUUGUAAUCUAGAGAAGUGUUUUCUGUGCUGGACUGUGUACAAGUUUCCUGGAUACGGAACAUCAUAGAGGGUGAGAAUCCCGUCCUUGACACAGGCUCCCAGUGCUUUGUGAUGCGCUCUCAACGAGUCGAGUUGUUUG
RNAcentral lists this ribosomal RNA (286 nucleotides) under Sistotrema flavorhizomorphae. Its description in RNAcentral is "partial 28S ribosomal RNA". It matches the Rfam family "Eukaryotic large subunit ribosomal RNA", at positions 1 to 276 of the family's 3401-position model. The record is from RNAcentral. Lineage: Eukaryota; Fungi; Basidiomycota; Agaricomycetes; Cantharellales; Hydnaceae.